Molecule: long non-coding RNA, 1224 nt
Filed under: Bemisia tabaci
Lineage: Eukaryota; Metazoa; Arthropoda; Insecta; Hemiptera; Aleyrodidae
Description: lncRNA ENSSSA1UGG010897
Source: RNAcentral
AUGAAAUUCUUGGUUUGCGCCUUCCUCCUCAUCGCGGCCGCCGCUGCCCUCCCAGCCACCCCCGCUGACCAGGCCGCCAGCGAGCAGAUCGCCCCCGCCGCGGAGGACGCGAGCGCCAAGGAAAAGCGUGGACUCGCUCCCUACUACGGAUACGGCGCCUACCCAUACAGCAGCUACGGUCUUGGCUACCACGCUCCCCUCACCAGCGCCUACCACGCUCCCCUCGCCAGCGCCUACCACGCUCCCAUCGCCGCCCCCGCCUACCACGCCCCCAUCGCCGCCGCCGCCUACCACGCACCCCUCGCCAGCGCCUACCACGCUCCCUUGGCCAGCGCCUACCACGCUCCCCUCUCCUACGGAUACGCCGCUAAGGCUUACUCCCCAUACUCCCUUGGCUACCACGCUCCUCUCUACGGUCAUGGUUUGGGCUACAGCUACUACCACUAGACUGCUCUCUCUGUGAUUCCUAUCUCCUAAUACCUCUACCAAAUUUAGUUUGUCCUUCCUAUUUAUUGCUGGGUCUCCGCUCGGCACCAUCUCAGAUUCGUUUGUGAUAGUUACCUGAUAUCAAGUUGUCUCAUCUCCGAUAAUACUGCCCGAUCGGUGCGUUACGUUCACCGGUGCCAUUUUGAAAGAUUUUCUCUGAAAUUGUUCAAAAAUCAUGACCUCACUAUGACAAAAGUUCGUUUUAUCUCUGAUGUUUCACCUGCAAACUUUGAACACCGUGAAUGAUGAAACUAUAAUUCAAUCUUUUCUUGUAAAAUCUCAAUGUGCCAUCUAUAAGAAUUCUUCUUACAGCUGGUAUCCAACCAUUUGUGAGUCAUAGAAAAUAAUUUUUUACUUACAUACAAGAUACGUCUAUUUGGUCUCAUUCUUUGUUUAUUCAUUAAAUAAAUGAAUGAAAAACAACCUCAUAUCGAGCCUUUUAUUUUUUCCUACACUGACUACAUGUACCAAGUUUGGAUAUGUUCAUUGUUCCACUACUGAUACAUGUUCUCUCCAAAAAAAAAGCAAGAAAGAAAAAAAUACCUAGUAUGUCAGAUACAGAUAAACUGCAAAUUAAGGGAAAAAAUUUGCUCAAUACUAGGUAUAGGUUCAGUCAAAAAACUCUCGUCUUUUAUUAAAAAAAUUAGUUUUCUUAAAAUGAAUAGUAACAUCACAAAAUUAUUUACAACAUAUGAUAUAGCUUUUAAUUUCAAACUAAAAUUAAUGUGAGGGGAAAAU